CUGGUCUUCCAGCUAUACCAGUUCAUGAAACUGUUGCCCCUGAUGCAACUCCAUCCUUAGAUGUUAACAAGGGGUCACGAUCUGAUUUAUCAGCAAAAUCUGAGGCUGAUGUACCUGCUGAUUUGGAGAAUGAAAAGAUAUAUUUUGAUGUUCCUGCCACACAAUCCUCUUUAGCUACAGAAACCGUAUCAGCAAUGGAGGGUGUUGGUGUGUCUUCAACAUCUGUCGCCAGUGGCGCUGUUGCUACUGCUUCAACUGCUCCCUCAAAGGUUCCAUCAAAAGUUUUGCGUAAAAAGCGGACUGUGGGUGUGGUAUCCACAUUAAGGUCUAAUAAGAAAGUGUCGAGCUUGGUUGACAAGUGGAAAGCUGCCAAAGAGGAGCUGCAUGCAGAGGAGGAAGAAGAACGUGAAAGUGCUCUUGACAAGUUGGAGAAGAAACGACAACGAGAAAUAGAGGAAUGGCGUGCUCAGCAAAUUGCAAGUGGGGAGGCCAAAGAUAACGCUAAUUUCCAGCCACUUGGCGGCGAUUGGCGAGAGCGUGUGAAACGAAAAAGAGUAGAAAAG
Molecule: unclassified non-coding RNA, 563 nt
Filed under: Hevea brasiliensis (rubber tree)
Lineage: Eukaryota; Viridiplantae; Streptophyta; Magnoliopsida; Malpighiales; Euphorbiaceae
Source: RNAcentral